Pongo abelii (Sumatran orangutan) is the source of this 71-nucleotide non-coding RNA. NCBI's taxonomy places the organism in Eukaryota, Metazoa, Chordata, Mammalia, Primates, Hominidae. The record is from Rfam.
GAGGAUUUAGUUUAAUUAAAAUGUUUGAUUUGCAUUCAAUUGAUGUAAGAUAGAGAGUGUUGCAGUCCUUA